UAGGGAAUCUUCCGCAAUGGACGCAAGUCUGACGGAGCAACGCCGCGUGAGUGAAGAAGGAUUUCGGUUCGUAAAACUCUGUUGUUAGAGAAGAACAGCGCAUAGAGUAACUGUUAUGCGUGUGACGGUAUCUAACCAGAAAGCCACGGCUAACUACGUGCCAGCAGCCGCGGUAAUACGUAGGUGGCAAGCGUUGUCCGGAUUUAUUGGGCGUAAAGCGAGCGCAGGCGGUCAAUUAAGUCUGAUGUGAAAGCCCCCGGCUCCACCGGGGAGGGUCAUUGGAAACUGGUUGACUUGAGUGCGGAAGAGGAGAGUGGAAUUCCAUGUGUAGCGGUAAAAUGCGUAGAUAUAUGGAGGAACACCAGUUGCGAAGGCGACUCUCUGGUCUGUAACUGACGCUGAGGUUCGAAAGCGUGGGUAGCAAACAGG
This 429-nucleotide ribosomal RNA is filed under the name Bacteroidota bacterium. Its description in RNAcentral is "Bacteroidetes bacterium partial 16S ribosomal RNA". It matches the Rfam family "Bacterial small subunit ribosomal RNA", at positions 355 to 776 of the family's 1533-position model. Lineage: Bacteria; Pseudomonadati; Bacteroidota. The record is from RNAcentral.